This 582-nucleotide ribosomal RNA is filed under the name Lactiplantibacillus plantarum. RNAcentral describes it as "bacterial SSU rRNA". It matches the Rfam family "Bacterial small subunit ribosomal RNA", at positions 741 to 1322 of the family's 1533-position model. Lineage: Bacteria; Bacillati; Bacillota; Bacilli; Lactobacillales; Lactobacillaceae. The record is from RNAcentral.
UGACGCUGAGGCUCGAAAGUAUGGGUAGCAAACAGGAUUAGAUACCCUGGUAGUCCAUACCGUAAACGAUGAAUGCUAAGUGUUGGAGGGUUUCCGCCCUUCAGUGCUGCAGCUAACGCAUUAAGCAUUCCGCCUGGGGAGUACGGCCGCAAGGCUGAAACUCAAAGGAAUUGACGGGGGCCCGCACAAGCGGUGGAGCAUGUGGUUUAAUUCGAAGCUACGCGAAGAACCUUACCAGGUCUUGACAUACUAUGCAAAUCUAAGAGAUUAGACGUUCCCUUCGGGGACAUGGAUACAGGUGGUGCAUGGUUGUCGUCAGCUCGUGUCGUGAGAUGUUGGGUUAAGUCCCGCAACGAGCGCAACCCUUAUUAUCAGUUGCCAGCAUUAAGUUGGGCACUCUGGUGAGACUGCCGGUGACAAACCGGAGGAAGGUGGGGAUGACGUCAAAUCAUCAUGCCCCUUAUGACCUGGGCUACACACGUGCUACAAUGGAUGGUACAACGAGUUGCGAACUCGCGAGAGUAAGCUAAUCUCUUAAAGCCAUUCUCAGUUCGGAUUGUAGGCUGCAACUCGCCUACCAUG